UAAAACACAGUCUUUAUUUCAAAAAGUACAACAAGAGAGCCCACUUAAUGAAAACCUAAAGUCUUCAGGUUUAACUAUUUUCCUGCUUCCACAGAUGGCUCUGAUUUAAAAAAAUGUAUUGUUACAAUUAAUAUGUUUAAUCAAAUGAGUGAUUACGUCUACGUAUCAAGUUUUGACCAUCCUAGACCCUUCGGUUCAGAAUAAUUAAUACAUGUAUACAGCUCCUUGAAAACUUCCUACAACGUCUCUUCCCGCGUUAUGUUCUCUUAGAUAGUUAUAUUUACUUACGUGAUAAUCCCCAUGAACCCGCAAGAAUGCGCGAAAUUCUUGCUUAUUUCCGUUCUCGACCUGGUGGCUCAUUUCACAUUGAUUUAAUUGAUGAUGAACCUGUUUUGCGCGUUUCAAUUCGUGCCAUUAGAAGUGGCAGACAACUUUAAAAUUCACGGAAACGGAAAGCAAUACUAAAUGAUAACAUCAGUGCCAUCUUUUAAAGUGUAAUGAAAAUAUAUUUCUGGCUCUCUCUAUGGAGAUUUAUCCGUUUUACUUUGGUAAAUAAAAAAAUUGAUUCAAUUUAAUUCAAUGUGUUUUAUUGUUAUUGUUUUGUAAAGUAUGAAUUAAUCAAAAUAACAAAUAUGCAGAAACUUUCUCCUAGAACUUUUAGUGUCUUUAGUUGUAUGUUAUUCCCUAAAUGCCAAAAGUCUACCAAAUCAAGUGAUAUUUUUGAUCGUGAUGCUAAACGCCGUCAAAGAGAAUCAUCAGCGCAAAAGGAUGAUUUCGCUGUUUAUCAAUAUGUAAAAGAAGAAUUCGGUUAUCGGAUGGCUGACAAAGUCUGGGAUAUCAAACGACUUUUCACCCAUGCAAUCGAACUCUCUUCCGGAAGUGGAUUUGUCACGCAAAAUUUAACUAGAGCAAGUUGAUUGAUUAUUGAAAAACGCAUACAAGUACAUAUACGAAACCUUUUACAAAUUUUGCCUGUUACAAUUUACAGGUCGGAGCACUUGAUUAUGAAGUAACUCCAUCAAACAUGUGGCAAGGAGUGUUUCCUUUACAUCUCCUAGGUUACAUAUUAUCAAUGGCUUAGGCGGCCAUUCAAAAGGUUUCAAAUGUGGGGGGAGGGAUGGGGGAAGGAAAUACAAUAAUUAUUGGGUUUACAAAGUUGUGGGAAAGAGGGAAGAGGUGUAGCGUUACAAUAAAUCAAAUAAUAAUUGUUAUUUGUUUGUAUGUUUCAAUUGAUUGAUUUAGAAAAUUUAAUAAUUGUUUAAUUUUCUUUGUUUUGUCUCUUCUGGUUACGGUGUUCUCAAUGUUAAAGUUGGUUAACUGGUGGGUUUCUCUGAGUUCUGUCAUUGUUGGACACUGACUGAUAUCCAUAUGUUUAAAGAAUAAUUUUUUCUAGGUCCCAAUAUUUGAAUACGCCGAUAUUCCCAUAUGGAUCAACCAGAAAGUCGAGUGAGGGUGAUAACGUCAUCCAUGGAUUGUUUGUUGUGUUUUCCUUGAGGAUGGAUAUAAUCUGCAUAUUAAUAAUUGUUUGUAUUUGUUGUUUUUUCAUAUAAUUUGGUGUUUACCAAUCUCCCACGGAAUCCAAAUUUUCUGGCAGUUUAGUUCAAAUUGCACGACCACCAUUAGAAGCCAGCCAUGAUUUUGUGAUUUUUUGAAACAACUCAAGAUUUGGUUCGUUACUUGGAUGCUGAUUUGUGUUUUUGUGUUGUAAAUUUUGAUUGACGGAAGAGUUUUGUUUCUUCUGUGCCAAAAAUAUUGGUCAUCGAUUGGAUAUUGUUCAAUGUGUAUCGGGGGAUGGAUGUAAUAAUUAAUCAUGGCUAUAUCGUCGAUUCUUUGGUUUUCAAUAAUUGUUUUCCACAUUUCGAGGAUCUGAUGUUUCAGGUUAUAUAUCGUCCAAAGUGUUUGGUACCCAGUGUAAUUGUUAUGAAGGAUAUUAAGUAGUUUUUUAGUUUCAUUGAGUAUUGUGAGGAUUAGUUCCUUAGGUGAUAAUUCUUUGAAGAUGUAGUAGCCCAUUUUUUUAUCGUAGGUAGGAUUUUUGAAGCAAUAAUUAUUUUCUUAAUUUUGAGUGGAAGGAAUGGUAGAUAUUGAAUGACCCCAGAGAAUUCGGUUAAAAUGUUCUUAUAUGUAGUAUUGAUGAGUUGAGUCAGUUGGAGUUUGUUAUUAGUAAGGUUAAAUCCUAGUAUUUGGAAUUCUUUGUUAAAAGUGUAUUUAUUGGUUUGAUUAUAAUAAUAAUUAUUGGAUUUUUGGAAAUUGAUCGUUAAGUCUAUCUCACUCAAGAAUUGUUUAAUCAGAGUGAUGGUUGUUUCGUACUCUUUCUCGACGAACUUUGAUAGUUGGUUGAUACAAGCAGCUGAUUUUUUGAUCUUUAUGAUGAAAUCGUCCGCAUAGGAAAUAAUUUCAGCUUCAGGUUUCGCUAUUGAGAAUUGUCUAAUGGGAAAAUCGAGAGUCAUGAUGAAUAAUAAUGGACCACUUGAUGUUCCUUGUAGAACUCCUUUUUCUUCUUUCUUAUACCAGAAUUUAUUGUCGAUCAUUAGUUUGAUAUGUUCUUAUAAUCUUUGCUUAUUUCAUCUUUCAGUUUAUGAAUAAUUUUCUCAUAUUGA
Molecule: non-coding RNA, 2597 nt
Organism: Tetranychus urticae (two-spotted spider mite)
Lineage: Eukaryota; Metazoa; Arthropoda; Arachnida; Trombidiformes; Tetranychidae
Source: RefSeq, a predicted model, not a curated record